GUCGAGUGAUGCUUUGAGAGAGACAGCUUUGGUAUCAAUAACAUGUUCAAUACCAUAAAACGCUCAACCACAUGUCCUCUUUUAUCCACAUAACGCAACACAGCUGCCAUUUGGUCUUUUGUGGAUAUGUCACGAGAUUCAUCAAUCAUAACAGAAAAUAAAGAGUCACCAAUUUCUUUAAUGAUAGCUCUAGAAAUUUCAGCUGAACAAACACUUACAAUUUGUUUCUGAAUAUCAGGGGAUGUCAUUUGGAGAUUUG
Molecule: long non-coding RNA, 259 nt
Filed under: Citrus sinensis (sweet orange)
Lineage: Eukaryota; Viridiplantae; Streptophyta; Magnoliopsida; Sapindales; Rutaceae
Description: long non-coding RNA (CSIN_LNC001034)
Source: RNAcentral